This 210-nucleotide ribosomal RNA is filed under the name Triticum aestivum (bread wheat). RNAcentral describes it as "partial small subunit ribosomal RNA". Lineage: Eukaryota; Viridiplantae; Streptophyta; Magnoliopsida; Poales; Poaceae. The record is from RNAcentral.
AUGGCCAGUGCCCUGAGGAAGUGGAGUAAAGGAUUGUUUAGUGAUGCAAAGCUGCAAUUCCACAUGGCUCAAGAGAUUAUCCUACGCCUUGAAACCGCUCAGGAGAACAGGGCCCUAUCUGAUGCAGAAUGGGAGCUGCAUAAAAAGCUCAAGUUACGACUAUUAGGUCUAGCUGCGAUCGAACGGGCGAGAAAGAAACAGAGCUCCUGA